Long non-coding RNA from Triticum dicoccoides, 1780 nucleotides. RefSeq lists it as uncharacterized. The transcript has 2 exons. The record is from RefSeq and is a predicted model, not a curated record. Lineage: Eukaryota; Viridiplantae; Streptophyta; Magnoliopsida; Poales; Poaceae.
ACAAACUGCCCACUCCAGAUUCCGGCGAUUCCGGCGGCUAUCGCCGGCGCGGUGCACACCGCCGAGCUCGCCUCGCUCGGCUCCAUCCUCCCCUCCGGCAAGAUUCUCCCUUCCCGGCCUCUACGGCUCGCCAAUAACCCACACCCGUGCUAGGGUUUCGGCCUCUAGCAUCGUCCUCCUCGUCGGCGCAUCUCCGGCGACUCUUCUCCUUUGCCUACAGCGCCCCCACGCGCGCCCUCGCUUCCUGAUGGCCCACCUCCAGCAGGGCGGCGCGGAGGACCUCCUCCCGCAGGAUCCACGGACGCGGCGCACCUUGCGGACGCUGGUCCCGGACGAGGGCGGGCACGGUGGCCUUGUCCUACUCGACGACGGUGGGGGCGAACGCCGGUGCUCCUCCUCCUCGACCUCCAAGGGGGAGCACCGGUACAACACAAGCACGCCCAGCCCCUGAACCCCCGUUCUUCACCCAUCCAGUGGCGUACAUGAUGUGCUCCUCGAUGCGGCUGUUCCCAACGAACUCUCUUCGCCGGAGGAGGCGGAGCAGCAAGUCCAGCACCCUCUUGCCCCCCUAUCCUGUAGCGCAUGGACGACCUCACCGUCGGCUGCAUUCUACCCUCCUAGCACGCAUGGAAAAUCCCAUCUACGCAGUCAUCCAGUUUGCACACACGGCCAUGAGGUAUGAGUUUGGUAAGAUUACCCUUCAUAAGACUUCACAAACAACCAUAUAUUUUUCCCAAAAGUUUUGUACUUCUGAACCUGUUGAAUUUGAAUCAAGAGAUGUUGCACAUUUCUGAACCUGCUGAAUAAAUCAAAAGAUGUUACUCCUCUACCUGCUGAAUCUAAAUCGAAAGAUCUCAAGAGAAUUAUGGUGCUACUUUUGGCAACGUGCCGCCGUGCUCAACCUCGCCCGGCCAUCGUAUGGCCUCUUGUGUUGUCUUCAAUCUUCAUUGGUACGUAUGUGUUCUAUAAUUACUGUAUACACAUAGAGACAAUGCUAGUUUUAGAGUUCAGAGAAAAACAGAGUAAGUGGAAGCACAAAGAAGAGGUAGCGGUAUGUGUCUAGAUUAAUCAUCAUUGUAUUCAGUGUAACUGCUAGCUUUAGAAUUCAGUUUUUGUCUAGCUGAAAAGACACAUAUUCCAUUAAGACAUAAUCAUCAUGGAAUUGGUACAUUCCUUUUUUACAUUUUGAGAAAAGUGCCUAGAAAUUCUCAUCAAUGCGCAAUAUUCAGCUGGGCUGCAUUUCUUAUCGAGUUUACUGUAGUGAAAGCGUAAUAUAAGCGCAACGGAGUUUACUACCAAAUCUAUUGAUCUAUACAUGCUCAUCAUUCCUUUUUUUUGUGAGCUGUUGUUUCUUUUCACACUUCUGUUAAUUUGUGGCAUUACUUUGCAUCCUGGGAGUGAAAAAAAUGCAGAACUUGAUAAUGUGAAGUAAGAUUAACCUACUGGCUGUAAUAUUUUAUAACGCGGCAUACUUUUCAUCAUGUGGCAGAUAUUGGUUAUGGGAGCAUUUUCAACAAUAAAGACAUGCGUUUUGACAACAUUUGCGUGGAUGGGUUGAUUUGCUGCUAUAAAUGUUGGAUGACCCCUGGUUGGUGUGUGGCGGCCGAACAAGAGUGGCCUCGCUUGAUGGGGCCGGUGCUUGGCUGUAGAGUAGCAUAGUGUUCUUCGAGACAUGCUUGUAAAAUUAAUGUUUUUGGGUCUUCUCUUUUCGCUCCUCUACAGGUGUAUUUUUGGAUAUGUUGUAAUUUUCUUUUUCUAAUGACAGGAGCAUGUACUUUCA